This 826-nucleotide long non-coding RNA is filed under the name Homo sapiens (human). RNAcentral describes it as "HSALNT0362914". The record is from RNAcentral. Lineage: Eukaryota; Metazoa; Chordata; Mammalia; Primates; Hominidae.
UGGAAAGAAUGAAUAAAAACAAGCAAUAUGGUUACUACAAUCCUAUGCAAUUUCCCCUGGUACCAUCAGAGUGAAGGACAAAGAGCAUUCUGUAUCAUCAAAUGCUUGUUCCAGAGGAGUGUGAAUUUAUUUUGGAUUUUCUUUAAAAUGCCAGAAGUCUUUCCUUUUGAAUGAAGACCAAAAUGGUUAAUGUGGCCAUUGAGGUAGGAUGACAGCUUCCAGCCCAACCUCAUUUUAUACCAUGUUGCUCCAUUCCUUAUAGAUGGUAAGCAUUCCUGCCCUUGGGCCACCCAUUUCCUCUUAAGGUCAGAGUCCAUGCUUGGCUAUAUAAGGCUAAUGAAUGUGUGAUUGUGUUUUGAGCACAUUCAGAGAUACGUGCUUCAUUUUGCAAUUGCUUCAUUCCUUGGGUUUCUCUGUAAAAAUCAGAUGUUCUUAUCCCUGUCAUUUCCCUCUCACUUCAUACUUUACUCUGAAGUUUAACAAAAAACACUCAAUAGCUUGACUACCUUAUUUAUAUAGAAUUUCAAAUGUUGGGAAAAUAAUUUUUGGACAAUUUUAGAAGCCAUGGAGGCCUAUCCAAACCCUUCCCCAUUGUUCAUGUGAUUAACAGUGAGAUGGGCCAAUAAAGGAUGUCCUUUAAGCCUCGGUCUAUCUGUAGAGGUAACCCUCUCACUUUAUUCUAUAGUCCUAGAGAUCAUAUGACUAGGGGUGGGGCUAGAAUAGAAAAAACAUUUUCCACUAGAGCUGGUAUACGGUAUUAAGAAAUAAAACAUAGACCCACUUUACGGGACUGAAAAUAGAGCAGGCACAUGGUGGAGUAUGGGAU